GACGAACGCUGGCGGCGUGCUUAACACAUGCAAGUCGAACGGAAAGGCCUCUUUCGGGGGGUACUCGAGUGGCGAACGGGUGAGUAACACGUGAGUAACCUGCCCUUGACUUUGGGAUAACUUCAGGAAACUGGGGCUAAUACCGGAUAGGAGCUCCUGCUGCAUGGUGGGGGUUGGAAAGUUUCGGCGGUUGGGGAUGGUCUCGCGGCUUAUCAGCUUGUUGGUGGGGUAGUGGCUUACCAAGGCUUUGACGGGUAGCCGGCCUGAGAGGGUGACCGGCCACAUUGGGACUGAGAUACGGCCCAGACUCCUACGGGAGGCAGCAGUGGGGAAUAUUGCACAAUGGGUGGAAGCCUGAUGCAGCAACGCCGUGUGCGGGAUGACGGCCUUCGGGUUGUAAACCGCUUUCGCUCAUGACGAAGCUUUGUGUGACGGUAGUGGGUAAAGAAGCACCGGCUAACUACGUG
RNAcentral lists this ribosomal RNA (467 nucleotides) under uncultured bacterium. RNAcentral describes it as "partial 16S ribosomal RNA". It matches the Rfam family "Bacterial small subunit ribosomal RNA", at positions 28 to 507 of the family's 1533-position model. The record is from RNAcentral.